GAUCCUGGCUUAGGAUGAACGCUAGCUACAGGCUUAACACAUGCAAGUCGAGGGGAAACGAUAUUGAAAGCUUGCUUCUUAGGCGUCGACCGGCGAAUGGGUGAGUAACGCGUAUCCAACCUGCCCCUGAGUAAGGGAUAGCCCAUCGAAAGAUGGAUUAAUACCUUAUGGUUCCUUUGAAGGCAUCUGAUUAGGAAUAAAGAUUUAUCGCUGAGGGAGGGGGAUGCGUCUGAUUAGCUUGUGGCGGGGUAACGGCCCACCAAGGCAACGAUCAGUAGGGGUUCUGAGAGGAAGGUCCCCCACAUUGGUACUGAGACACGGACCAAACUCCUACGGGAGGCAGCAGUGAGGAAUAUUGGUCAAUGGGCGCAAGCCUGAACCAGCCAAGUAGCGUGCAGGGAACCGACUGCCCUAUGGGUUGUAAACUGCUUUUAUACGGGGAUAAAGUCAGAGUCGUGACUCUGUUUGCAGGCACCGUAUGAAUAAGGACCGGCUAAUUCCGUGCCAGCCGCUGC
This 515-nucleotide ribosomal RNA is filed under the name uncultured bacterium. RNAcentral describes it as "bacterial SSU rRNA". It matches the Rfam family "Bacterial small subunit ribosomal RNA", at positions 15 to 518 of the family's 1533-position model. The record is from RNAcentral.